Molecule: ribosomal RNA, 563 nt
Filed under: Petasospora xylosilytica
Lineage: Eukaryota; Fungi; Ascomycota; Saccharomycetes; Phaffomycetales; Wickerhamomycetaceae
Description: Cyberlindnera xylosilytica partial large subunit ribosomal RNA
Rfam family: Eukaryotic large subunit ribosomal RNA
Source: RNAcentral
UUUGCAUAUUCAUAAGCGGAGGAAAAGAAACCAACAGGGAUUGCCUCAGUAACGGCGAGUGAAGCGGCAAGAGCUCAAAUUUGAAAUCUAGUACCUUCGGUGCUCGAGUUGUAAUUUGAAGGUAGUUUUCUGGUGCUGGCCCUUGUCUAUGUUCCUUGGAACAGGACGUCAUAGAGGGUGAGAAUCCCGUCUGAUGGGGUGUCCAGUGCUUUGUAGAUUUCUACCGAAGAGUCGAGUUGUUUGGGAAUGCAGCUCUAAGUGGGUGGUAAAUUCCAUCUAAAGCUAAAUAUUGGCGAGAGACCGAUAGCGAACAAGUACAGUGAUGGAAAGAUGAAAAGAACUUUGAAAAGAGAGUGAAAAAGUACGUGAAAUUGUUGAAAGGGAAGGGUAUUGGAUCAGACUUGGUGUUUUGUGAUUAUCUUCCCUUCUUGGGUUGUGCACUCGCAUUUCACUGGGCCAGCAUCGAUUCGGAUGGUAAGAUAAUGGCUUGAGAACGUGGCACUCUUCGGGGUGUGUUAUAGCUCUUGUUGAUGUUGCCUAUCUGGAUCGAGGACUGCGGCUUU